GACGGAGGAUGCAAGUGUUAUCCGGAAUCACUGGGCGUAAAGCGUCUGUAGGUGGUUUAAAAAGUCUACUGUUAAAGCUUGAAGCUUAACUUCAAAAAUGCCGUAGAAACUUUUAAACUUGAGUAUGGUAGGGGUAGAGGGAAUUUCCAGUGGAGCGGUGAAAUGCGUAGAUAUUGGAAAGACCACCAAUGGCGAAGGCACUCUACUGGGCCAUUACUGACACUGAGAGACGAAAGCUAGGGGAGCAAAUGGG
RNAcentral lists this ribosomal RNA (253 nucleotides) under uncultured bacterium. Its description in RNAcentral is "partial 16S ribosomal RNA". It matches the Rfam family "Bacterial small subunit ribosomal RNA", at positions 524 to 776 of the family's 1533-position model. The record is from RNAcentral.